Infundibulicybe gibba is the source of this 104-nucleotide non-coding RNA. The record is from the annotation of a GenBank genome assembly. Lineage: Eukaryota; Fungi; Basidiomycota; Agaricomycetes; Agaricales; Omphalinaceae.
GCCCGCCUAGCUCAAUCGGAUAGAGCGUCAGACUCUUAGGCGGGUUUGUGAUCCCACUCCGAUGUGUUAUCUGAAGGCUGCGAGUUCGACCCUCGCGGUGGGCU